RNAcentral lists this long non-coding RNA (1076 nucleotides) under Gallus gallus (chicken). The record is from RNAcentral. Lineage: Eukaryota; Metazoa; Chordata; Aves; Galliformes; Phasianidae.
CUGUCCUCUCCCGGGGAGGCGGCGGCGGCGGCGGCCCCGGCUGUGCCGCAGGCUCGGCGGCGGCGGGCAGCGGCGCUGCGGCAGGGUCCCGGCGGCCGUGCCCUACGAAGGGCCUGGGCCGGGCGCGCUGGGAAGCGGCGGGGCUGGAGCAGGCGGAGGGGAAGGAAAAAAACAAGAACCAUCAAGAUCAUCAGUGAUACCAUUUAAUGCACUUCUGGAAUGCGUUCAGAUAACACACCACGAAGGCAGAACACAGUGUGGCCAGGAGCAUGACUGGGCCACAAAUAAUUCGGUACAAUGAUCUUGCAGUGAUAUUAACAUUCUAGUUAGUCACUGCUAUUAGGGUAAACAUACUAAAAAAUGAACCACAUAAAGAAUUUCAUAACCUCAAAAUUCCAGAGACCAUGAGACACUUCGGUGUUCAUACUGCCCAUUAUGCUCUGAAUGUACAGAGAGUGUAGAAUAUGGGCUAGAUAGAAAAGGACAAAGAUACCAGCAAACAAUAUUCAGAAUCAACUCUUUAAUAAUUUAACUGUAUACUUCAGAGAGCAGAACGAUGUAAGCAACAUGGGAAUUCCCACCAACUGUGCUUUGUUUAGUUUAUUUCACUAAGCAUUUGUUUUUUUGUUGUCAAAGCAUAUAAAAACAUUAAAAGAAUCAGUUGUCUACAACUUUUAGGAUAGCAUCCAUGACAGUGGGCAGGAACCUCCCAGUACCUCAUCUUUCUUAUCGACUAUAUUGUAAUUCGGCUGAAGCAGUUGUGUAUCUGCCACAUUCCAGGUCACCUAUAGACAAGACCUACUGCGUCAACUGAUUGAGCAGCCAGGAAGAAAAGCCCUUUCCAUUAUGAAUGUUAUGACACAAGAGUUAGAUGGUUUAUUUCCUCAUUUAUCAGAAAUAGAAUCAAAUAUAAGAGCAUAAAGAAAUGAAGAGAUGCAUUCACAGUGCUAUAAAAACUUACUGAAAUACAUAAAUCUGGCUGUAGAAGGGGCAUUAUUUCUCUGGUAGCUACCCAUGUGUAUAUGGGAAUGGAGACUACUGGAAACAAGCAGAGUUGAAUAAAUGAUUUUUUCACA